RNAcentral lists this unclassified non-coding RNA (331 nucleotides) under Basidiomycota sp. RNAcentral's name for it is "partial contains small subunit ribosomal RNA, internal transcribed spacer 1, and 5.8S ribosomal RNA". The stretch from base 1 to 47 matches the Rfam family "Eukaryotic small subunit ribosomal RNA", at positions 1785 to 1831 of the family's 1831-position model. Lineage: Eukaryota; Fungi; Basidiomycota. The record is from RNAcentral.
AAAGUCGUAACAAGGUUUCCGUAGGUGAACCUGCGGAAGGAUCAUUACAAAAAAAAAAUCCGUUUUCUCUCUCCUGUUAGACAUUAAAUUGUUCUAACAAGAGGGCGAAAAUAAACCCCAUGUGCACUGUUAAUCGUAGUUGUACCUUUUCGGUGGGCUUGAAAGGGAUAUAGAUUGGUGUUGCAUUCAGAGGCUAUCUCUUUUUUCAACCCCCCCAAUCCAUUUCCCCUACUGCCGGAAAAGUGCAGCAUUAUACAAACUCUUUAAUCUUUAGCCUAAAAUAAAAAGUAUAAAUUUUAAACAACUUUCAACAACGGAUCUCUUGGCUCUC